Molecule: long non-coding RNA, 497 nt
Organism: Hippoglossus stenolepis (Pacific halibut)
Lineage: Eukaryota; Metazoa; Chordata; Actinopteri; Pleuronectiformes; Pleuronectidae
Exons: 3
Source: RefSeq, a predicted model, not a curated record
CUGCUCGCGCCUUCUCCCGCAGUUUGUCUUGGCGCGUGUCCAGGUCACGAGCUGCAGAAAAAGACGCAGAACAAACUGAACACUACGAAAAAAGCACGCACAGAAAAAGCUACGCGACGCAGCGAAACAGAAACUGAGAGAAUGUGAGAAGAAGUUUUCUUCAGGCUGCAGCAGCGUCUGACGUCACACGCCCGAAAACCAAAAGCAACCCGCUGUGAUGGCGGAGGUCGUAGUUUAACGUUAUUUUGUUAUUUAAACGUUUUAAUUUAACGUUAAUAUUAUUUUAACGUUUCAUCGUGGACACAGACGACGGGUCGACCACGUCCAGCUUCCCCGCUCCUCAUCACAGAAACCUGUUCGUCGUGGACACAGCGAGACGUGGUGGACCUGGUCCAGCAUCACAAAGGACCUGAACUCUCUCAGAACAGGUCGAUCUUCAGGAAGAUCUUCAAACGGUAGGACCAAUUUUUCUUUUUGAUUUUGGUUGGCCGCCGUGC